RNAcentral lists this ribosomal RNA (737 nucleotides) under Staphylococcus aureus. Its description in RNAcentral is "partial 23S ribosomal RNA". It matches the Rfam family "Bacterial large subunit ribosomal RNA", at positions 1286 to 2019 of the family's 2925-position model. Lineage: Bacteria; Bacillati; Bacillota; Bacilli; Caryophanales; Staphylococcaceae. The record is from RNAcentral.
AAGUGAGAAUGCCGGUGUGAGUAGCGAAAGACGGGUGAGAAUCCCGUCCACCGAUUGACUAAGGUUUCCAGAGGAAGGCUCGUCCGCUCUGGGUUAGUCGGGUCCUAAGCUGAGGCCGACAGGCGUAGGCGAUGGAUAACAGGUUGAUAUUCCUGUACCACCUAUAAUCGUUUUAAUCGAUGGGGGGACGCAGUAGGAUAGGCGAAGCGUGCGAUUGGAUUGCACGUCUAAGCAGUAAGGCUGAGUAUUAGGCAAAUCCGGUACUCGUUAAGGCUGAGCUGUGAUGGGGAGAAGACAUUGUGUCUUCGAGUCGUUGAUUUCACACUGCCGAGAAAAGCCUCUAGAUAGAAAAUAGGUGCCCGUACCGCAAACCGACACAGGUAGUCAAGAUGAGAAUUCUAAGGUGAGCGAGCGAACUCUCGUUAAGGAACUCGGCAAAAUGACCCCGUAACUUCGGGAGAAGGGGUGCUCUUUAGGGUUAACGCCCAGAAGAGCCGCAGUGAAUAGGCCCAAGCGACUGUUUAUCAAAAACACAGGUCUCUGCUAAACCGUAAGGUGAUGUAUAGGGGCUGACGCCUGCCCGGUGCUGGAAGGUUAAGAGGAGUGGUUAGCUUCUGCGAAGCUACGAAUCGAAGCCCCAGUAAACGGCGGCCGUAACUAUAACGGUCCUAAGGUAGCGAAAUUCCUUGUCGGGUAAGUUCCGACCCGCACGAAAGGCGUAACGAUUUGGGCACUGU